Long non-coding RNA from Vigna angularis (adzuki bean), 1845 nucleotides. RefSeq lists it as uncharacterized. The record is from RefSeq and is a predicted model, not a curated record. Lineage: Eukaryota; Viridiplantae; Streptophyta; Magnoliopsida; Fabales; Fabaceae. The transcript has 2 exons.
UCAUAUAAAGGGUUACAUACAAUAAAACCUAAUAAUUAGACCAAUAAAAUAAAAACAAGAAUAACCCAAUAAGAAUAGGAGUACACAGAUAAAAACCAGGGGUGCAACUCGAAAUUUCUUAUCCAGGCCAAAGAUAGGGGUACAGCAGUAAAGUUGGAGGCGCCAGAAAUGAAAUGAGCCCAAUGUCCAAACCUCUCCUUUUUUUUGUUUGCAGAAAAGAAUGGGCUUAAACCCAAACGGAAUAGGGGUGUGAAUGGGAGAGGGGUGUGUGCAAAGGGAGGAUGGAGUGUUUUAUUUAAAAAAAAACAUGGAUCUAGCCCAAGGUUUUUUUUCAAACAGAAGCAUUAGGGGUUAGGAGUUCUGCCCCUUCUCUCAUUCUUCCAUCUCACUCGACCAUCACGAACACAAGACGCGUAUCUCUCUUCUCCCAGCCAGGAGCCCUAACGAAGGGUCGUCAUCUCUUCGCCCACAAUGCCGCCCCCGCCAGAUCGACCACCGCGUGUCGCCGUCCAAGCCAUCGCCAGCUCAGCCGCCCACCGUCGAUACCAUCGCCGGCCGUCGCUCUAGCUCUUCCCCUCUUUCUUUUUCGCGUGCGAGGGAGGAACUCGCCUUUCACCCUGCAACGUCACCGCCACCCCCGAUGAGGCCAACCACCGCGAGCCGUGAGCCAAGGUCGCGCCAGCGAUGCAGCUCGUCGCCGGAGUCGUUGCCGGUCACGGCGCCAGACCCUCCUUUCCUUCUCUUCUUCCCGCGUUAGAGAAACUCUCACGCUUCUCCGUCAAUCCCCGCUUGAACGAUCACGGCUGCCUCGAACCGGAGCACCACCAGUGUCACGGGUCACGACCACGGUCGCCGCCGGUCCUCGCGUCGACGUCCUCCACCGCCACGACCAAAUCCACCUCUACCCCUAAAACCGUCACAGUCACAACCACUCCUGAAAUCGCCACCGCGCCUACCACCUCUUGGAGUCCCAAUGUUUAGUUAUCAGAGAAUACAGCUAUAAAGCUAUAAAGAUUUGCCAAGACAAUGUUUGGGGGUUUAGGGUUUUAUUCUGUUGCUGUGGUGUGCUUAUGGUUUUUUAUGAUUCAACUUUGUUAAUGGUUGGAGAUGAACAGAGGCGUUGGAGGCUAUGGAAGAUCGGAGAGCUCGUGUUGCUCGGUGGCUUCGAAGCGGAGAGACAGAAGAGGUGAUGGGAUACAGCAAGGCUAUGAUUAUGAUGCUGGAGUUGGGGAUGAUGGAGUGGCAAAGAAUACACAUAACCUAAUCAUGUAUAUCAAAUAUGAUUACAUGUUUAGACAAAGCCAGGUCUUACCAAACCAACACAAGAGCAUAUAUCAACCCAAAUGAACGCAGAUAUCAACCCAAUUAUGAAUAGAUCACAUCAUAUUGUGAGCAAUAAGCUUUAAGAAGAUGAACUUGCCUUUUGUCUCUGCGUUCAAGUUUUUUCUUUGAAUCCUGGUUGAUGGUGAUAUCUUUUUUCUUUGAAUCCUGGUUGAUGGUGAUAUCCGAUGAGUGAAUGGACGAGGAUUUUGUUUUUGCGGUUAAUGGUGUAGGUUGAGGGAAUAGUGGGUUCCUGUGAUGUGCAUGAUGGAGGAGAUAGAGAAGAGGUGAGAGGUGAAUGACGGAUGUUGUUGGAGGGGAGUCCAGGGUUCUUUGGGUUCCCCCUGGUCAUGAGGUGUGAGACGCGAUAUGGAAGUCAGAAGAUGAAUUCCAUCAUCCCUCCCCCUUAGCCAUAUUCACUGGGUCAGAUGAAACCAAAGUCAAAAGCGUGGCCUGUGCAAUGGUUGCUUCCUGCAACAGCCCCUACUCUGCUCUGCUGUGUUUCCUCUUAAGGUAGGCUAGCUA